CUCCUACGGGAGGCAGCAUCGGGGAAGUCUUGCGCUAAUAGGGCGAAAGCCUGACGGACCAGCCAUGCCGCGUGAAUGAUGAAGGUCUUAGGAUUGUAAAAGUUCUUUACAGUCAGGGACGAUAAUGACGGUACCUGCAGAAGAAGCCCGGCUAACUUCGUGCCAGCCGCCGCGGUAAUAC
Molecule: ribosomal RNA, 181 nt
Filed under: uncultured bacterium
Lineage: Bacteria
Description: partial 16S ribosomal RNA
Rfam family: Bacterial small subunit ribosomal RNA
Source: RNAcentral